GUGAGGAAUUUUCCGCAAUGGGCGAAAGCCUGACGGAGCAAUGCCGCGUGAAGGAUGAAGGCCUAUGGGUUGUAAACUUCUUUUCUCAGAAAAGAAUUAUGACGGUAUCUGAGGAAUAAGCAUCGGCUAACUCUGUGCCAGCAGCCGCGGUGAGACAGAGGAUGCAAGCGUUAUCCGGAAUGAUUGGGCGUAAAGCGUCUGUAGGUUGUUUAAAAAGUAUUCUGUCAAAGAUUAGGGCUUAACCCUAGAUAGGCAGAAUAAACUUUUAAGCUAGAGUUUGGUAGAGGCAGAGGGAAUUCCCGGUGGAGCGGUGAAAUGCGUAGAUAUCGGGAGGAACACCAAAGGCGAAGGCACUCUGCUGGGCCAAUACUAACACUGAGAGACGAAAGCGAGGGGAGCAAAUGGGAUUAGAAACCCGAGUAGUCC
RNAcentral lists this ribosomal RNA (426 nucleotides) under uncultured bacterium. Its description in RNAcentral is "partial 16S ribosomal RNA". It matches the Rfam family "Bacterial small subunit ribosomal RNA", at positions 354 to 796 of the family's 1533-position model. The record is from RNAcentral.